Molecule: ribosomal RNA, 641 nt
Filed under: Pediococcus pentosaceus
Lineage: Bacteria; Bacillati; Bacillota; Bacilli; Lactobacillales; Lactobacillaceae
Description: bacterial SSU rRNA
Rfam family: Bacterial small subunit ribosomal RNA
Source: RNAcentral
UUGAUUAUGACGUACUUGUACUGAUUGAGAUUUUAACACGAAGUGAGUGGCGAACGGGUGAGUAACACGUGGGUAACCUGCCCAGAAGUAGGGGAUAACACCUGGAAACAGAUGCUAAUACCGUAUAACAGAGAAAACCGCAUGGUUUUCUUUUAAAAGAUGGCUCUGCUAUCACUUCUGGAUGGACCCGCGGCGUAUUAGCUAGUUGGUGAGGUAAAGGCUCACCAAGGCAGUGAUACGUAGCCGACCUGAGAGGGUAAUCGGCCACAUUGGGACUGAGACACGGCCCAGACUCCUACGGGAGGCAGCAGUAGGGAAUCUUCCACAAUGGACGCAAGUCUGAUGGAGCAACGCCGCGUGAGUGAAGAAGGGUUUCGGCUCGUAAAGCUCUGUUGUUAAAGAAGAACGUGGGUAAGAGUAACUGUUUACCCAGUGACGGUAUUUAACCAGAAAGCCACGGCUAACUACGUGCCAGCAGCCGCGGUAAUACGUAGGUGGCAAGCGUUAUCCGGAUUUAUUGGGCGUAAAGCGAGCGCAGGCGGUCUUUUAAGUCUAAUGUGAAAGCCUUCGGCUCAACCGAAGAAGUGCAUUGGAAACUGGGAGACUUGAGUGCAGAAGAGGACAGUGGAACUCCAUGGGUA